UUCGAAGCUGUUGUGAUGUUUCGAAGAUCCGGAAAUAUUUAACCGUUAGUUCAUCCUGAAUUUUUGAUAUGUUAUGAAAGAGUUGAUGAGGAACAACUUCAAUGAAGAAAGCAUGCCGAUCUGAACAAUAGAAAAUGGAGUUUCGAAGCUCACAACAAAUCUGACGGGUUGACAGAAAAAUAAUAACCAGUCAUUCAUCAUACCUGGAUUUCUGGAGUUAUACUGCUCCGAGGGAUCUCAAAUUUGGAUAUGUUGUAGUUCACAAGCUGAGGAACAACUUCAAUGAAGAAAGUAUGUUGAUCUGAACAAGAGAAAAUGGAAUUUCGAAGCUCACAACAAAUCUGACGGGUUGACAGAAAAAUAAUAACCAGUCAUUCAUCAUACCUGGAUUUCUGGAGUUAUACUGCUCCGAGGGAUCUCAAAUUUGGAUAUGUUGUAGUUCACAAGCUGAGGAACAACUUCAAUGAAGAAAGUAUGUUGAUCUGAA
RNAcentral lists this long non-coding RNA (487 nucleotides) under Malus domestica (apple). RNAcentral describes it as "long non-coding RNA (MDOM_LNC010567)". The record is from RNAcentral. Lineage: Eukaryota; Viridiplantae; Streptophyta; Magnoliopsida; Rosales; Rosaceae.